RNAcentral lists this small RNA (1582 nucleotides) under Pan troglodytes (chimpanzee). Its description in RNAcentral is "retained intron". The record is from RNAcentral. Lineage: Eukaryota; Metazoa; Chordata; Mammalia; Primates; Hominidae.
CGCGCGCAGCUGGUCGGCCCGCGGCGGUGCUGCGCGGAUCCGGCGUCGGGGCCCGGCAUGGCGGGGGCCGGGGCCAAGCCGGGCCGGACCCGGACCUAAAUGCCUCUGUUCUUCUCCGCGCUGUUGGUCUUGCUGCUAGUUGCGCUUAGCGCCCUCUUUCUAGGCCGGUGGCUUGUGGUCCGGUUGGCCACCAAGUGGUGUCAGCGGAAGCUGCAGGCGGAGCUAAAGAUUGGCUCCUUCCGCUUUUUUUGGAUCCAGAAUGUCAGUCUUAAGUUUCAGCAACACCAGCAAACAGUGGAAAUUGAUAACCUGUGGAUUUCCAGCAAACUCCUUAGCCAUGAUCUUCCACACUAUGUGGCAUUGUGCUUUGGAGAAGUGCGUAUCAGAACGGACCUACAGAAAGUUUCUGGCCUGUCUGCCCCAUUCUCCCAGAGCGCUGGGGUGGAUCAAAAGGAACUGUCCUUCAGCCCAUCGUUAUUGAAGAUCUUCUGCCAACUAUUCUCCAUUCAUGUAGAUGCUAUAAACAUCAUGGUUCUCAAGGUGGAUACCUCUGAGUCCUUAUGGCAUAUUCAGAUCAGUAGAAGCAGAUUUCUUUUGGAUAGUGAUGGGAAAAGGCUAAUCUGUGAGGUGAGCUUAUGUAAGAUCAACAGCAAAGUUCUAAAGAGCGGUCAGCUGGAGGACACCUGCCUAGUGGAGCUUUCACUGGCCCUGGACCUGUGUCUAAAGGUGGGCAUUAGCAGUCGGCAUCUCACUGCUAUCACUGUGGAUGUGUGGACACUCCAUGCUGAACUGCAUGAGGGCCUCUUCCAGAGCCAACUGCUGUGCCAGGGCCCAAGCCUAGCAUCUAAGCCUGUUCCCUGUUCAGAGGUGACAGAAAACUUAGUUGAGCCAACUCUGCCUGGCCUUUUCCUUCUCCAGCAGCUGCCAGACCAGGUCAAGGUUAAGAUGGAGAACACAAGCGUGGUAUUGUCCAUGAAUAGUCAAAAGAGGCACCUGACUUGGACUCUGAAGCUGCUGCAGUUCCUGUACCACCGUGAUGAGGAUCAGCUGCCCCUUCGAAGCUUCACAGCAAACUCUGAUAUGGCACAGAUGAGCACGGAACUGCUGCUGGAAGAUGGGUUGUUGUUGUCCCAGAGUCGCCAACGCAUUGUCUGCCUCAACUCCCUCAAGGCUAGUGUGCAGGUGACCACCAUUGAUCUCUCAGCCUCCCUAGUUCUGAACACUUGCAUCAUUCACUACCGGCACCAGGAAUUCUCUCACUGGCUGCACCUGCUAGCACUGGAAACCCAAGGGUCUAAUUCACCUGUUCUAAAGCAAAGGAAAAAAAGGUCAGUCUGAUCUUUUUCAGCCACCUUCUUGUCAGUUGGAUUCUCUGGGAUUCUUUUGGUCCAAAUUGGCAUCCUGUGUUAAAUAUGUAUUUGGUUGUUUGACCUCCUCAAAUCCGAGUCUCAACAGCAAUCCUGUUUUAUAUAUCUUUCCCAUUAGACUAGACUCCUUGAUAGCAGAAUGCUGUCCUCUUUGUUUUUAUGUCCUCGGUGCUCAGUGUAGUGUUUUAUACAAAAUAAAUGUUUGUUGAACUGAA